Molecule: small nuclear RNA, 297 nt
Filed under: Castor canadensis (American beaver)
Lineage: Eukaryota; Metazoa; Chordata; Mammalia; Rodentia; Castoridae
Description: 7SK RNA (ENSCCNG00000020222.1)
Rfam family: 7SK RNA
About the family: 7SK was discovered as an abundant small nuclear RNA in the mid-70s but a possible function has only recently been suggested. Two independent studies have found that 7SK RNA binds the CDK9/cyclin T complex (known as elongation factor P-TEFb).
Source: Rfam by way of RNAcentral
GGAUGUGAGGGCGAUCUGGCUGUGACCCCUGUCACCCCAUUGAUUGCCAGGGUUCAUUUGGCUGAUCUGGCUGGCUAGGCAGGUGUCCUCUUCCUCCCUCACCACUCCUUGUAUGUCCCUCUCGAAGCUGCGUGCUCAAAGAGGACAACCAUCCCAGAUAGAGGAAGACCAUUCUUCGGUCAAGGGUACACAAGUAGCUGCGCUCCCCUGCUAAAACCUCCAAACAAGCUCUCAAAAAAAAAUGCAAUUUGUUUUCCAAGUGCCCCAAAAAACAGAUCGAAUAUACUAGUUAGCUUU